UACAGAGGUCUCAAGCGUUGUUCGGAUUUAUUGGGCGUAAAGAGCGUGUAGGCGGCCAGACAGGUCCGUUGUGAAAACUCGAGGCUCAACCUCGAGACGCCGAUGGAAACCGUCUGGCUAGAGUCCGGAAGAGGAGAGUGGAAUUCCUGGUGUAGCGGUGAAAUGCGCAGAUAUCAGGAAGAACACCCGUGGCUAAGGCGGCUCUCUAGUACGGUACUGACGCUGAGACGCGAAAGCGUGGGGAGCGAACAGG
RNAcentral lists this ribosomal RNA (253 nucleotides) under uncultured bacterium. RNAcentral describes it as "partial 16S ribosomal RNA". It matches the Rfam family "Bacterial small subunit ribosomal RNA", at positions 524 to 776 of the family's 1533-position model. The record is from RNAcentral.